Molecule: long non-coding RNA, 341 nt
Filed under: Fukomys damarensis (Damara mole-rat)
Lineage: Eukaryota; Metazoa; Chordata; Mammalia; Rodentia; Bathyergidae
Description: lncRNA (ENSFDAG00000028416.1)
Source: RNAcentral
GAGAAACAAAGACUCACUAUUGAAGCUUUCAACAGCAACAGCUUGCUUUGCAAACUCAAGACUCAAAUGACCAACAUCCUGAAAAAAAUCAAAAGAGCAUCUUCUUAUGGUAAAAAUCAUUCAACUAAACAAAAAGCAAGGCUAUGACAAUCUUCUUAUGCUGGCAUCUGAGGCAAAAUAUAUUCUUCCACCAAAACUUUCCAUGUCUGUUUUAGUAUUACUGGGCCACCUGCCAGGUGGCUGAAAACACAAUUUAACUGAUACUUAAGUUAGUAAUUAUUGAAAAUUCUGUUACAUUUCCCUGCCUCAAAGGAAAAGUAUUUUAUGAAUAAAUACACAGC